UACGAGGGGGGCGAGCGUUGUUCGGAAUUAUUGGGCGUAAAGGGUGCGUAGGCGGUUUGGUAAGUCUUGUGUGAAAUCUACAGGCUCAACUUGUAGUCUGCACGAGAAACUGCCGGGCUUGAGUGUGGGAGAGGUGAGUGGAAUUCCUGGUGUAGCGGUGAAAUGCGUAGAGAUCCGGAGGAACACCAAAGGCGAAGGCAGUGUCCUGGGGAGUACCUGACGCUCAGGUGCGAAAGCCAGGGGAGCGAACGGG
This 253-nucleotide ribosomal RNA is filed under the name uncultured bacterium. RNAcentral's name for it is "partial 16S ribosomal RNA". It matches the Rfam family "Bacterial small subunit ribosomal RNA", at positions 524 to 776 of the family's 1533-position model. The record is from RNAcentral.